Molecule: ribosomal RNA, 497 nt
Filed under: uncultured bacterium
Lineage: Bacteria
Description: partial 16S ribosomal RNA
Rfam family: Bacterial small subunit ribosomal RNA
Source: RNAcentral
GAUGAACGCUGGCGGCGUGCCUAAUACAUGCAAGUCGAGCGAACAGACGAGGAGCUUGCUCCACUGACGUUAGCGGCGGACGGGUGAGUAACACGUGGAUAACCUACCUAUAAGACUGGGAUAACUUCGGGAAACCGGAGCUAAUACCGGAUAAUAUAUUGAACCGCAUGGUUCAAUAGUGAAAGACGGUUUUGCUGUCACUUAUAGAUGGAUCCGCGCCGCAUUAGCUAGUUGGUAAGGUAACGGCUUACCAAGGCGACGAUGCGUAGCCGACCUGAGAGGGUGAUCGGCCACACUGGAACUGAGACACGGUCCAGACUCCUACGGGAGGCAGCAGUAGGGAAUCUUCCGCAAUGGGCGAAAGCCUGACGGAGCAACGCCGCGUGAGUGAUGAAGGUCUUCGGAUCGUAAAACUCUGUUAUUAGGGAAGAACAAAUGUGUAAGUAACUAUGCACGUCUUGACGGUACCUAAUCAGAAAGCCACGGCUAACUACGUG